RNAcentral lists this ribosomal RNA (404 nucleotides) under Actinomycetes bacterium. Its description in RNAcentral is "Actinobacteria bacterium partial 16S ribosomal RNA". It matches the Rfam family "Bacterial small subunit ribosomal RNA", at positions 355 to 776 of the family's 1533-position model. Lineage: Bacteria; Bacillati; Actinomycetota; Actinomycetes. The record is from RNAcentral.
UGGGGAAUAUUGGACAAUGGGCGCAAGCCUGAUCCAGCCAUGCCGCGUGAGUGAUGAAGGCCCUAGGGUUGUAAAGCUCUUUCACCGGUGAAGAUAAUGACGGUAACCGGAGAAGAAGCCCCGGCUAACUUCGUGCCAGCAGCCGCGGUAAUACGAAGGGGGCUAGCGUUGUUCGGAUUUACUGGGCGUAAAGCGCACGUAGGCGGACUAUUAAGUCAGGGGUGAAAUCCCGGGGCUCAACCCCGGAACUGCCUUUGAUACUGGGAGUCUUGAGUUCGAGAGAGGUGAGUGGAAUUCCGAGUGUAGAGGUGAAAUUCGUAGAUAUUCGGAGGAACACCAGUGGCGAAGGCGGCUCACUGGCUCGAUACUGACGCUGAGGUGCGAAAGCGUGGGGAGCAAACAGG